AAAUAAGACAUGUAAUAAUCCCCCGCCCCUCUUAGCUCACACUCUCUCAGGUCUAAGCAUCACGCAUCAUCUCGCCAAAUUCAUUGCUACUUGUUUAUGCAAUUCUUCAUCCAUUUUCCUAAAUUCAUUGCUCACUGUUUACCUCGCCGUUGUUCUUGAAUAUCUCGCCGUUGAGGUUUUGGAGUUGGCUGGAAAUGCUGCGAUGGACAACAAGAAAACUAGAAUUGUGCCAAGGCAUAUUCAAUUGGCUGUUAGGAAUGAUGAAGAAUUGAAACGAAACCUGUUAGAAAGAAAAAUUAAACAAGAUCUUCAUUCUCAGAUCGAUUCGCAUUGCUCAAUUUGCAACAGUUUAUUGUUCUAUGAUCUUAAAAUAAAGAGGAGGAGAAGAAACCUAUUAGAAAGAAAAAGGAAAUUUUUAGUUCUGGAGAUGAAUUUGAAGCUUAACAAACGGGGGAAGAUGUGAAAAAAGAGGAGAAGAAGAAACCUGUUGGAAAAAGAAAGAAAAUUUCUGAAGAGAAGAACAAAUUUGGUGGAAAAAUUAAGAGUGAGGAUGAACAAAUCUGUGUUGGGGGAAGAGGAUCAGGACUGUUGUUCUUCUCUAAGGAGGACUGCUACAACGAAGAAACCUCAAUACAGUGAACGGAAGGUGUCGAAGGCGGCAAGAAUUAAGAUAUUGCAAAUAAUUGGAAUUUCAAUGAGGUGUAUUUGCCAACAUGCUAUGUUUUAUCUUGCUGCUGCAGUAUCCGACUAUUACGUUCCUUGGAAGGAUAUGGUAUAAAUAUAUCAUAUGUUGGUUCUUAAUUCCAUGAAUUUUUUUUCUGCCAUAUAUUGCCUAAAAUGAUUAUGUUAUUGGUUAAGGGACAAGAGAUAUAUCAUUUGAAGAAAUUUUCAGUAUUACUUGUGUCUGAGGUGGAAUUUGUGUUUAGAGAAUUUGACCUUAGUUUCUAGUGUAAAAACCAAUAAUGUAAUCAUGAAAUGUAAGAAUCGUGCCUUGGUUUUGUCUAGUAGUAGAACUUGUAAUAUUCAAUUGUUGGAAUUGGGUGUCGAAGGGAGAAUAAGGAAAAAGGAGGUGCAAGUCUUUAUUAAGUUGAUAUUUUUAACUUUGUUAUGAAUAUUAUUGGUGGAUGUCCUGGCCCAUGUAAUUGACCCAUUUAUUUAUCUAUAUAUAGAUACUAUGUAUCACUAUAUUGUAACCCUAAUCUUAAUAGUGAAUAGCAUAUACUAUUCUUUCUCUC
Trifolium pratense (red clover) is the source of this 1235-nucleotide long non-coding RNA. RefSeq lists it as uncharacterized. The transcript has 4 exons. The record is from RefSeq and is a predicted model, not a curated record. Lineage: Eukaryota; Viridiplantae; Streptophyta; Magnoliopsida; Fabales; Fabaceae.